Molecule: ribosomal RNA, 210 nt
Filed under: Acinetobacter baumannii
Lineage: Bacteria; Pseudomonadati; Pseudomonadota; Gammaproteobacteria; Moraxellales; Moraxellaceae
Description: partial 16S ribosomal RNA
Rfam family: Bacterial small subunit ribosomal RNA
Source: RNAcentral
AACUGAAGAGUUUGAUCAUGGCUCAGAUUGAACGCUGGCGGCAGGCUUAACACAUGCAAGUCGAGCGGGGGAAGGUAGCUUGCUACUGGACCUAGCGGCGGACGGGUGAGUAAUGCUUAGGAAUCUGCCUAUUAGUGGGGGACAACAUCUCGAAAGGGAUGCUAAUACCGCAUACGUCCUACGGGAGAAAGCAGGGGAUCUUCGGACCUU